AGCUUUGCACAGUGGCAGUAUUGUAGCCAAUGAGGUUUAUCCGAGGCGCGAUUAUUGCUAAUUAAAAAUGUGAUGUCUAUUUGGGUUGAACUACAUGUUUGCAACUUUUCUCCCUCUGAUUUUAUAAUUUACAAACAGUAUAGGAAAA
Nyctereutes procyonoides (raccoon dog) is the source of this 148-nucleotide small nuclear RNA. RefSeq annotates it as U4 spliceosomal RNA. The record is from RefSeq and is a predicted model, not a curated record. The transcript has a single exon. Lineage: Eukaryota; Metazoa; Chordata; Mammalia; Carnivora; Canidae.